AGAACGAACGCUGGCGGCAUGCCUAACACAUGCAAGUCGAACGUGAUCCAGGCUUCGGCCUGGUGAAAGUGGCAGACGGGUGAGUAACGCGUGGGAACCUGCCCUGUGGUAGGGAAUAACCGUGGGAAACUGCGGCUAAUACCCUAUGAGUCCUUCGGGAGAAAGAUUUAUCGCCAUAGGAGGGGCCCGCGUCGGAUUAGGUAGUUGGUGGGGUAACGGCCUACCAAGCCUUCGAUCCGUAGCUGGUCUGAGAGGAUGAUCAGCCACACUGGGACUGAGAUACGGCCCAGACUCCUACGGGAGGCAGCAGUGGGGAAUAUUGGACAAUGGGGGCAACCCUGAUCCAGCAAUGCCGCGUGGAUGAUGAAGGCCUUCGGGUUGUAAAGUCCUUUCGGCGGGAAGAUGAUGACGGUACCCGCAGAAGAAGCCCCGGCUAACUUCGCGCCAGCAGCCGC
Molecule: ribosomal RNA, 455 nt
Filed under: uncultured bacterium
Lineage: Bacteria
Description: SSU rRNA
Rfam family: Bacterial small subunit ribosomal RNA
Source: RNAcentral